This 253-nucleotide ribosomal RNA is filed under the name uncultured bacterium. RNAcentral's name for it is "partial 16S ribosomal RNA". It matches the Rfam family "Bacterial small subunit ribosomal RNA", at positions 524 to 776 of the family's 1533-position model. The record is from RNAcentral.
UACGUAGGGGGCAAGCGUUGUCCGGAAUUAUUGGGCGUAAAGAGCGCGUAGGCGGUCCGAUAAGUCGGCUGUGAAAGUCCAGGGCUCAACCCUGGAAAGCCGGCCGAUACUGUCGGACUAGAGUCCGGAAGAGGCAAGUGGAAUUCCCGGUGUAGCGGUGAAAUGCGCAGAUAUCGGGAGGAACACCAAUGGCGAAGGAAGCUUGCUGGGACGGUACUGACGCUGAGGCGCGAAAGCGUGGGGAGCAAACAGG